UACGAAGGGGGCUAGCGUUGCUCGGAAUGACUGGGCGUAAAGAGCUCGUAGGCGGACUGUUGCGUCUGCUGUGAAAAGCUGGGGCUUAACCCUGGCCUUGCAGUGGAUACGGGCAGACUAGAGGUAGGUAGGGGAGAAUGGAAUUCCCGGUGUAGCGGUGAAAUGCGCAGAUAUCGGGAGGAACACCGGUGGCGAAGGCGGUUCUCUGGGCCUUACCUGACGCUGAGGAGCGAAAGCGUGGGGAGCGAACAG
This 252-nucleotide ribosomal RNA is filed under the name uncultured bacterium. RNAcentral describes it as "partial 16S ribosomal RNA". It matches the Rfam family "Bacterial small subunit ribosomal RNA", at positions 524 to 775 of the family's 1533-position model. The record is from RNAcentral.